GACCGCUCCGGUGGCUUAGUGGUUAGAGUGUCCACCUUGGAUGUGGGAGGUCAUCUGUUCGAACUCCAGCUGAGUCA
Molecule: non-coding RNA, 77 nt
Organism: Potamilus streckersoni
Lineage: Eukaryota; Metazoa; Mollusca; Bivalvia; Unionida; Unionidae
Source: the annotation of a GenBank genome assembly